Molecule: ribosomal RNA, 118 nt
Organism: Pteropus vampyrus (large flying fox)
Lineage: Eukaryota; Metazoa; Chordata; Mammalia; Chiroptera; Pteropodidae
Source: Ensembl
GUCUAUGACCAUGCCACUCUGAACAUGCCCGAUUUUGUCUGACCUCGGAAGCUAAGCAGGCCGGGCCUGGUUAGUACUUGGAUGGGAGACUACCUUGGAAUACUAGGUGCUGUAGGCU